RNAcentral lists this ribosomal RNA (443 nucleotides) under uncultured bacterium. RNAcentral describes it as "partial 16S ribosomal RNA". It matches the Rfam family "Bacterial small subunit ribosomal RNA", at positions 338 to 795 of the family's 1533-position model. The record is from RNAcentral.
CCUACGGGAGGCAGCAGUGGGGAAUAUUGCACAAUGGGGGAAACCCUGAUGCAGCGACGCCGCGUGAGUGAAGAAGUAUUUCGGUACGUAAAGCUCUAUCAGCAGGGACGAAGCAAGUGACGGUACCUGAGGAAUAAGCCACGGCUAACUACGUGCCAGCAGCCGCGGUAAUACGUAGGUGGCAAGCGUUAUCCGGAUUUACUGGGUGUAAAGGGCGUGUAGGCGGGAAAGCAAGUCAGAUGUGAAAACCACGGGCGCAACCUGUGGCCUGCAUUUGAAACUGUUUUUCUUGAGUACUGGAGAGGCAGACGGAAUUCCUAGUGUAGCGGUGAAAUGCGUAGAUAUUAGGAGGAACACCAGUGGCGAAGGCGGUCUGCUGGACAGCAACUGACGCUGAGGCGCGAAAGCGUGGGGAGCAAACAGGAUUAGAUACCCUUGUAGUC